CCUGGCGCACCGAGGAGGUCGAGCUUCCACUGAAGGCGUCAUGAAGAUCCUCGCGGGC
This 58-nucleotide unclassified non-coding RNA is filed under the name Sorangium cellulosum So ce56. RNAcentral describes it as "sce_snoPyro_CD_2". Lineage: Bacteria; Pseudomonadati; Myxococcota; Polyangiales; Polyangiaceae. The record is from RNAcentral.